UUGUGACAGGAUGAGCUGCUGUCAAACAUAAGCAAGGAAUAGGGAGAAAUCUGGAGAACAGAAAUUGCACGAGGGCACACGGAGAUUGUGCAGGGGUACCCGUAGGAUCCAACGAGGUACUGUAAUGAGACACCAGGUGCAAGGAGAAGAAGUGUUCCCAGAUGAAGCUCAGAGCAGAGACUGUUAAAGUUUGUACAACAGGAAGUCUCUUAUGCUCUUGAUGAAGACAACAGGCGAAGACCUU
RNAcentral lists this long non-coding RNA (244 nucleotides) under Populus trichocarpa (black cottonwood). Its description in RNAcentral is "long non-coding RNA (PTRI_LNC002411)". The record is from RNAcentral. Lineage: Eukaryota; Viridiplantae; Streptophyta; Magnoliopsida; Malpighiales; Salicaceae.